UGACCGCUGGCGGCGUGCCUACUACAUGCAAGUCGAGCGAACGGACGCGAAGCUUGCUUCUCUGAUGUUAGCGGCGGACGGGUGAGUAACACGUGGAUAACCUACCUAUAAGACUGGGAUAACUUCGGGAAACCGGAGCUAAUACCGGAUAAUAUUUUGAACCGCAUGGUUCAAAAGUGAAAGACGGUCCUGCUGUCACUUAUAGAUGGAUCCGCGCUGCAUUAGCUAGUUGGUAAGGUAACGGCUUACCAAGGCAACGAUGCAUAGCCGACCUGAGAGGGUGAUCGGCCACACUGGAACUGAGACACGGUCCAGACUCCUACGGGAGGCAGCAGUAGGGAAUCUUCCGCAAUGGGCGAAAGCCUGACGGAGCAACGCCGCGUGAGUGAUGAAGGUCUUCGGAUCGUAAAACUCUGUUAUUAGGGAAGAACAUAUGUGUAAGUAACUGUGCACAUCUUGACGGUACCUAAUCAGAAAGCCACGGCUAACUACGUG
Molecule: ribosomal RNA, 495 nt
Filed under: uncultured bacterium
Lineage: Bacteria
Description: partial 16S ribosomal RNA
Rfam family: Bacterial small subunit ribosomal RNA
Source: RNAcentral